CUAAUCCCUUGGAAGAUACGACAUGUAGAUGUGAGGAGUGGCCAUCCUCACUGAUUUUUGACAAAUCUUAGCAUUAACAAAUCAGAAUUCGUUGCUUUGUGUUCAAGGGAUAUAUAUUGGUAUAAUAAUUAAAUUAUGGUGGAAUUAUGAAACUGGUCGUUGGGCUUUUUAUCCAUUUUGGGAAAUGAAAUCAUUCUCCGGAAACUGGGCCCAACACAGCACACGGCGAGAAAUAAAACGCCGUACAGCCACAAAACUUUCAACGGUAACCAUUUCGAG
RNAcentral lists this long non-coding RNA (279 nucleotides) under Linum usitatissimum (flax). RNAcentral's name for it is "long non-coding RNA (LUSI_LNC006206)". The record is from RNAcentral. Lineage: Eukaryota; Viridiplantae; Streptophyta; Magnoliopsida; Malpighiales; Linaceae.